Non-coding RNA from Ceratotherium simum simum (southern white rhinoceros), 88 nucleotides. NCBI's taxonomy places the organism in Eukaryota, Metazoa, Chordata, Mammalia, Perissodactyla, Rhinocerotidae. The record is from RefSeq and is a predicted model, not a curated record.
AGCAUCCCCGCCACAACAUAAGGGCACAUGCAGCCCACACAGGGGACACUCCUGGAGCAUUUGGCAUGGGGAGGAGGGGAAAAAACAC